This 480-nucleotide ribosomal RNA is filed under the name uncultured bacterium. RNAcentral describes it as "bacterial SSU rRNA". It matches the Rfam family "Bacterial small subunit ribosomal RNA", at positions 25 to 518 of the family's 1533-position model. The record is from RNAcentral.
CAGGACGAACGCUGGCGGCGUGCUUAACACAUGCAAGUCGAGCGAUGAAGCUUCUUCGGAAGUGGAUUAGCGGCGGACGGGUGAGUAACACGUGGGUAACCUGCCUCAUAGAGGGGAAUAGCCUUCCGAAAGGAAGAUUAAUACCGCAUAAGAUUGUAAUAUCGCAUGAUAUAGCAAUUAAAGGAGUAAUCCGCUAUGAGAUGGGACCCCGCGUCGCAUUAGCUAGUUGGUGAGGUAACGGCUCACCAAGGCGACGAUGCGUAGCCGACCUGAGAGGGUGAUCGGCCACAUUGGGACUGAGACACGGCCCAGACUCCUACGGGAGGCAGCAGUGGGGAAUAUUGCACAAUGGGGGGAAACCCUGAUGCAAGCAACGCCGCGUGAGUGAUGACGGUCUUCGGAUUGUAAAGCUCUGUCUUCAGGGACGAUAAUGACGGUACCUGAGGAGGAAGCCACGGCUAACUACGUGCCAGCCGCGGC